AGACCUUUAGUUUGAACCCCGAAACCAGGUGAGCUACCCCGAGACAGCCUAUAUUGAUUUAGGGCUAACCCGUCUCUGUGGCAAAAGAGUGGGAAGAGCUCCGGGUAGAAGUGACAGACCUACCGAACCUGGUGAUAGCUGGUUGCCUGAGAAGUGGAUAGAAGUUCAGCCUCGCACACCCCAAGCCAGAGAAUACACCACUAAGGCACUCAGGGAAAUGUGGGAGAGUUAGUUAAAGGGGGUACAGCCCCUUUAACAAAGGAUACAACCUUUGCAGGAGGAUAAAGAUCAUAAUAUAUAAAACAUGCUGCUCUAGUGGGCCUAAAGGCAGCCACCUAAACAGAAAGCGUUAAAGCUCAGGCAGAAAGAAGUUUAUUAUACCGAUAAAAAAUCUUACUCCCCUAAUUAUAUCAGGCCAACCCAUGCCAACAUGGAAGAGAUUAUGCUAAAAUGAGUAACAAGAAGACCUGCUCUUCUCCCAGCACAAGUGUAAGCCAGAUCGGACUAACCGCUGGAACUUAACGAACCCAACCCAAGAGGGUAGUGUGAAUAGUACAGACCCCAAGAAGAACUCACAACUAAACAAUCGUUAACCCCACACUGGAGUGCUAUUAUAAAGGAAAGACUAAAAGAGGGGGAAGGAACUCGGCAAACACAAGCCUCGCCUGUUUACCAAAAACAUCGCCUCCUGCAACUAUAUUGAGUAUAGGAGGUCCAGCCUGCCCAGUGACUACGGGUUCAACGGCCGCGGUAUUUUGACCGUGCAAAGGUAGCGCAAUCACUUGUCUCUUAAAUAGAGACCUGUAUGAAUGGCUAGACGAGGGCUUAACUGUCUCCCCCCUCCAGUCAGUGAAAUUGAUCUAUCCGUGCAGAAGCGGGUAUAAUUAUACAAGACGAGAAGACCCUUUGGAGCUUAAGGUACAAAAUCCAACCACGUUAAACGACCCCCUAAAGGGCAAGAACUUAGUGGCCAAUGAAGUUUUACCUUCGGUUGGGGCGACCACGGAGGAGAAAAAAGCCUCCGAGUGGACUGGGUUAAAACCCAAAGCUAAGAGAUACAUCUCUAAGCCGCAGAACAUCUGACCAAAAGUGAUCCGGCUAAAAAGCCGAUCAACGAACCAAGUUACCCUAGGGAUAACAGCGCAAUCCUCUCCCAGAGUCCAUAUCGACGAGGGGGUUUACGACCUCGAUGUUGGAUCAGGACAUCCUAAUGGUGCAGCCGCUAUUAAGGGU
Molecule: ribosomal RNA, 1233 nt
Filed under: Alburnus tarichi (tarek)
Lineage: Eukaryota; Metazoa; Chordata; Actinopteri; Cypriniformes; Leuciscidae
Description: partial large subunit ribosomal RNA
Rfam family: Bacterial large subunit ribosomal RNA
Source: RNAcentral